Molecule: small nucleolar RNA, 126 nt
Filed under: Gallus gallus (chicken)
Lineage: Eukaryota; Metazoa; Chordata; Aves; Galliformes; Phasianidae
Description: Small nucleolar RNA SNORD22 (ENSGALG00000030683.2)
Rfam family: Small nucleolar RNA SNORD22
About the family: U22 is a member of the C/D class of snoRNA which contain the C (UGAUGA) and D (CUGA) box motifs. U22 is encoded within the U22 snoRNA host gene (UHG) in mammals and has also been identified in Xenopus.
Source: RNAcentral
CCCCGAUGAGGAAUCCCCCACGUGUCUGACCACCCCCCCGGCAGCAGAGCCUGAGCUCAGGCAGAACCCACUGGUGCCGGCGGGUGGAAAGGAGGACACUGCGUUCAGCAGAACGGUCUGAGGGGG